This is a long non-coding RNA of Athene cunicularia (burrowing owl), 2408 nucleotides long. RefSeq lists it as uncharacterized. The record is from RefSeq and is a predicted model, not a curated record. The transcript is spliced from 3 exons. NCBI's taxonomy places the organism in Eukaryota, Metazoa, Chordata, Aves, Strigiformes, Strigidae.
CGGGGCCGCGCCACCCGGCAGCACCCCGGCGUGGGACCGCGCGGAGCGAGCCCAGCCCGCCGCGGCGGACGGUGUGGCGGUGGAGACGCGGGGGCACCCGAAGGAAGCUGCUGUCCUGAGGGACAAGAUGUUGCUCGCCAGCCGUAACGCACCUCGCUGCACAGCAGCUCCCACCAGGAGCCGAAACUCGGCCAGGAGCCAUGUGCCAGGCCCCGUCACCUCUCACCUGCCUCACCCCACGGGCCGAGGCUCCCGGCCGGGCACCAGCCCCGACCUCUGCGUCUUUCAAAACGUACCCCUCUGCCUUGAGUUAGGCUAAAGUGCAGACAUAACGGAAUUCAAACCCAAUUUUCAGUUUUUCCUUCCUUAAAACUAACAGUCUUCUGCAAGAACGUGAGAUACACAGCAAAGUCAAUUCUGGGACAAAACCUUUUAAUUUAUGAGUGCCACUUAGAGAGAAGUGAUCUGAUACCUCAACCAAGACUUAUUUAAGGACUUGAUCUCAGAGAAGACUUCUCAGACUUUACCUAAGCAAAUUACACCAGGAAAUUGCUAGUACUUAGGCAUGAAGUAAACCAGUGCUAGUUCACUCUGCAAUAUUAAUAUUUAGCAGCUGGCAUAGAAACUAUUUGCAAGGUUAAAAACAAAACAUACUCAUAAUCCCACAAUCCAUACAAUAGCAUAAGUGAACAUACACCUCAUUUCCUGGUAAGUAUAUCCUGCUGCAGUAUGCUGCUUUUAAAACCUGCCAAGUUAAAGAAAUUCAGUCGCUUUGUUUAUACUCAUUUGCAUCCACUUAAUACAAACCCUUGCUACCCUUACAAAAACAUAUAUAAACAAGCAUUCUUUCUGCACUUUUGCUUGCAAACUGUUGCCUGCAAGUCAUUCCGCUGAUAUGGUUGGGACUCCUUGUUUAAAUAAAGCAUCAGUUGCUAUGACUAGGGUAACAGGAGACGAAGAGGAAGAUCCCGUUCAUUACAUCUUCUCUUAGACAUGCAGUUUAAAUAAAAGACCAAGAUGUCUUUUAAACUGUCGUAGAUGAUGAAAAAUAAUCAGAUCUUUGCAGUAUCUUGCCACAUGUUAAAAGGCACCUCACACAUGUAGGACAGUGCCUUAAAAGCACCUGGCUCACCAGCUGAUCAUACAUUGAAAUGCACAGCUGGGUUACCAUAACUACAUAGUCUCUGGUGAGCUCUACCAAGAAAGCUCUCCCCUGUCUCAAUGUUGCCCAGUGCCAGUCCCAGUUAAAUAUACAUAUGUCCAAAUAGACAAAGAUUAAGGGAUAGCACUAACAUUUAUUAAGAAUGAAUACAUGGAAAAUUAGAAUAGUAAAGUAAAACAGCAGCAAUGCAAGAGUUCAGGGUUCCAUACUUAAAAUCCUUAUGGUAAGCAAGAAGGGAGUCCCUGGGACAGAUGGUAGCGUGGCAGCUUCUGUGCAGAAAGUCUCCCCAAAGCAUCUGACAAUUCUGGGGUCUUUGUAGCCAAUUUUUAUACUUUCUGGGGAGAGAUGUGGUAAUCAUCACUCUUGUGCACAGAGUUCUGGUAAUCACACAGACAGUUGUGGUUUUGUUGUCCUACACAGCUACAUGGCUGUGAUCAAUUCCAUAUAUGGAUUAAUUUACAUAAUUGUGGCUCAUUUGUAACACUCAGCUAGCCCUUUAGCUCUGUUACUGCCGACCUGUAUCAAGAGUCACAAUCAUGGGCACGUUUUAGCAACAGUAAUGUCCAGGUUUAAGGCCUGGCGCAGGCCAAAGCCCACUGUCAUCCUGUAUCACUGAGGGACCAAGAGUGAGUGGGCACAUACUGCAGGACUCCCCACUGGAGCACUCAUUAAACAGCACCUGCUGCGUGGCAGAAAUGAGUACCCGCUGCAAAAUACAGGAAAGCAGAGUGUGAAUUCUACAGAUCAUCUCCAGAUGAGACUAUAUAACUUUAAAAAUACAUGUAGCUGGUGUAUUUCCCCUCUGCAGUUCAUAGAAAACUUGCUUUCUCAAUGUGUUAGAGCUGACACUGAUUUGAAAGUAACCCUUUCCUUGUGAAGCCACCUUGCUUCACUGUUACCAGUUUAUAGUAUCACAGCAGGACAGAACAUCUUCAUUAAUAUUUUUUAGAAACUUCAAACAUACUCUAAAAGAAUUCCCUUAUUACACAGCAUCAUAAAUGUACAUACUGCUCUUCCUUGAAUGCCCUGCAAUAAAACUUCAUGGUCCAGUGGCCAGAUGGAUAACCUUUCUCUCAUCAUGGUAAGCAGUCAGCUCAGUGUCACCCACCCAGAAUGUUCAAAAUUAAAUCCAACCCAAAUAGUACUGAAUAAGUAUUAGUCAUUCUUUUGAAAAAAUACAAUAAAUAUUAGAUCUUUCUUUUCUAGUUUUCAGGAGCAGAAUAGUCUGCUAUCAAGGUUUCUUACA